Molecule: non-coding RNA, 208 nt
Filed under: Gossypium raimondii (Peruvian cotton)
Lineage: Eukaryota; Viridiplantae; Streptophyta; Magnoliopsida; Malvales; Malvaceae
Description: Eukaryotic large subunit ribosomal RNA
Rfam family: Eukaryotic large subunit ribosomal RNA
Source: Rfam by way of RNAcentral
AAGCCGGGUUACGGUGCCCAACUGCGCGCUAACCUAGAACCCACAAAGGAUGUUGGUCGAUUAAGACAGCAGGAGGGUGGUCAUGGAAGUCGAAAUCCGCUAAGGAGUGUGUAACAACUCACCUGUCGAAUCAACUAGCCCCGAAAAUGGAUGGCACUUAAGCGCGCGACCUAUACCCGGCCGUCGGGGCAAGGGCCAGGCCCUGAUG